UUAUACUAUCACCACUACAUUGGAUUUUUAUGUGUUUUAACAAAAUUAAUCUCUAUAUAAGCAAAGGCCUAUUAAUUUUGUAGAGCAAGGGUGCAGAAAUUUCAAGUCCAUCAAAGAGUUAGAGCUUCAAAAUCAUGUCCUUUUUAAGGAACGCUAAAGCUAACCACCAAAAACAAGAAACAUUUACCAUAGAACAGCGGGAAACAGGCCAUAAUUCUCAAGGUAAUGAGCGUUCUAUCAUUAACCGUCCUGCCACUCCUAACAGACAAAACCAACCAGAAAGAGGUUUUGACGUUAGUCAUGUGAGUUCCAGUUCCUCAGUGACUCAGUCUAUGAGUACUGAAAGAUCAUCAGGACAUGAACUCAAUCACCGCCAUCCACAUAUCCCUCCUAGUACACCAGGAGUUGACCGCCAUCCACAUAUCCCACCUAGUACACCAGGAGUUGACACAAGGAUUGAUAUUAUUGAAGAAGUGAGAGAGGGAGAAGAAGACCCUGUAGAGAAUCCUGUACACAACCCUGGAGAAAAUCCAGAGGCAGGUUGAGAUGAGGGAUUUGGGAGAAAUUUCUAGAUGAUAGGAAAUUAUAUAUGAUUGUCAUGUUUUGGACUAAAUGUUAUUUAAAUAAGUGAAUGUAUUGGAUACCAUGAAUUCCAUCUGGCUUAUGCAAGUUAAUGAGAUUGAAAAAUAAUAAUAAUAAUAAAUAAAUUUGCUUUUUUUUUUUUUUACCUUAUUCUUAAUCUAGUAGUUAAGUAAUUUUAUGCUUGCAUUUCAUCAAGGUUAUGGUAACUCGCGCUAGAAACACGAACAAUAGGAAUGGUCAACCCCGGACCGAACCAACAAAAUUGAACAAUAAUAAUCACAACUAAAAUGACCGAUUCACAAUAUGGCACCACCCGCCAUACAACAUGUUGCACUACCACCUGCAGAGAGGAGUGUGGC
Molecule: long non-coding RNA, 941 nt
Filed under: Olea europaea (common olive)
Lineage: Eukaryota; Viridiplantae; Streptophyta; Magnoliopsida; Lamiales; Oleaceae
Description: long non-coding RNA (OEUR_LNC014206)
Source: RNAcentral